CUACGGGUUGCUGCAGUGAGGAAUAUUGGGCAAUGGACGAAAGUCUGACCCAGCCAUGCCGCGUGCAGGAUGACGGCCCUACGGGUUGUAAACUGCUUUUGUACAGGAAGAACGACUCGAACGUGUUCGGGAAUGACGGUACUGUACGAAUAAGCAUCGGCUAACUCCGUGCCAGCAGCCGCGGUAAUACGGAGGAUGCAAGCGUUAUCCGGAUUCAUUGGGUUUAAAGGGUGCGUAGGCGGGGUAAUAAGUCAGUGGUGAAAUCUCACAGCUUAACUGUGAAACUGCCAUUGAUACUGUUACUCCUGAAGGCAGUUGAGGUAGGCGGAAUGUGUAGUGUAGCGGUGAAAUGCUUAGAUAUUACACAGAACACCGAUUGCGUAGGCAGCUUACUAAACUGUAAUUGACGCUGAGGCACGAAAGCGUGGGGAGCGAACAGGAUUAGAUACCCCGGUAGUC
Molecule: ribosomal RNA, 459 nt
Filed under: uncultured bacterium
Lineage: Bacteria
Description: partial 16S ribosomal RNA
Rfam family: Bacterial small subunit ribosomal RNA
Source: RNAcentral